Molecule: ribosomal RNA, 131 nt
Filed under: Galium trifidum
Lineage: Eukaryota; Viridiplantae; Streptophyta; Magnoliopsida; Gentianales; Rubiaceae
Description: 5.8S ribosomal RNA
Rfam family: 5.8S ribosomal RNA
About the family: 5.8S ribosomal RNA (5.8S rRNA) is a component of the large subunit of the eukaryotic ribosome. It is transcribed by RNA polymerase I as part of the 45S precursor that also contains 18S and 28S rRNA.
Source: RNAcentral
ACACGACUCUCGGCAACGGAUAUCUAGGCUCUCGCAUCGAUGAAGAACGUAGCAAAAUGCGAUACUUGGUGUGAAUUGCAGAAUCCCGUGAAUCAUCGAGUUUUUGAACGCAAGUUGCGCCCGAGGCCACU